This 1030-nucleotide long non-coding RNA is filed under the name Struthio camelus australis. RNAcentral describes it as "lncRNA (ENSSCUG00000018420.1)". Lineage: Eukaryota; Metazoa; Chordata; Aves; Struthioniformes; Struthionidae. The record is from RNAcentral.
CCCCCCUCCUCUAUUGGGAUGCUUUUUGGUGAACCCCAAAUCUCCCAUUCCCAUGGGGUGGGGGGGUCAGCACUAUCAGGCCCUACAGCCCUUCCCACUCCCAAGCCCUGGGGCUCCCCCCCGCCCCAGAGAGGGGAGGUGAUGUCUCCAUCCCAGACCAACAAUGGUGGGGGGGAGGAGAGCAAUGGAUGCUAUCACCUGUCCUGAGGGUCAUUAUGCCCUCCUCAGCCCCUAGGCUCCCCCCAACCAGGGCUGCUGAGACCAAGGGCAUGGGAGGACACUGGGAUCACUGCGCAGGCAGGGCUGGUGUGGGGGCAUCCUUCCCACCCCCAUUUGCAGAGGGUCCCAGUGGGAUGGGGGCUCAGGGGUCCCCAGGAGGGGAUGGGUAGGAAGAGCAGCAGUGCCUGUUCUUGCUCCCACCAUGGGGUGACAGCUUGACUAGGGGAGGGAAUUGCUGCUUGGGGAGCCACAGGCCAAGGCUGGCAUAGGGCAAAGCAAACAGUGGCCCCCCCCAUGCCAGGAGGAGGUAUGUGGCAGGAGACACAUCGGUGAACCCCACCAUCCUGCCUGCACAGGUCAAGGAGCAGGAUUGGGCCUGGAGGCCUCAGCAUGAUGUGAGGGUGGUAGGGCUGGACACCUGGGUUCCCUUCCCUGCUUCCUUUUGCCCCCCAGCCCAGCAGCCCUCCCAGCCUGGCAUGGGGUCCCCGCUCUCUGACUGCCCCCUCUCCCUUCAGCUCUGUCUCACCAUGUCGGUCUCCAAGCUGCAGGACGUGGAUGAGGUUUUUGAUUUUACCGCUGUGGUUCCAGAGACGCAGCGGCUCNNNNNNNNNNNNNNNNNNNNNNNNNNNCCAAGGUCAGCGCCCCCCGGCCACCCCGCCCCCGCCUGCGAGACAGCGCCAGCUCCACCGAGGGUGAAGAUGGGCCUGAGAGGAGGGUGAGCCCCACGGGCACUCGUGGAGGAGGGACCCUGGCCAAGCUGAUGGGGUGCUGGGCCCUGCCAUGACCAGGGCACCUGCAGGAUGGCCCAGGG